CCUACGGGAGGCAGCAGUGGGGAAUAUUGGGCAAUGGGCGCAAGCCUGACCCAGCAACGCCGCGUGAAGGAAGAAGGCUUUCGGGUUGUAAACUUCUUUUGUCAGGGACGAAGCAAGUGACGGUACCUGACGAAUAAGCCACGGCUAACUACGUGCCAGCAGCCGCGGUAAUACGUAGGUGGCAAGCGUUAUCCGGAUUUAUUGGGUGUAAAGGGCGUGUAGGCGGGGACGCAAGUCAGAUGUGAAAACCACGGGCUCAACCUGUGGCCUGCAUUUGAAACUGUGUUUCUUGAGUACUGGAGAGGCAGACGGAAUUCCUAGUGUAGCGGUGAAAUGCGUAGAUAUCUGGAGGAACAUCAGUGGCGAAGGCGACUAUCUGGCACAUAACUGACGCUGAGGAGCGAAAGCGUGGGUAGCAAACAGGAUUAGAUACCCCAGUAGUC
Molecule: ribosomal RNA, 443 nt
Filed under: uncultured bacterium
Lineage: Bacteria
Description: partial 16S ribosomal RNA
Rfam family: Bacterial small subunit ribosomal RNA
Source: RNAcentral